AGAGUUUGAUCCUGGCUCAGGACGAACGCUGGCGGCGUGCCUAAUACAUGCAAGUCGGACGAACCAGGAAAGGAACUUGUUCCUUUCCUUGGUUAGUGGCAGACGGGUGAGUAACACGUGGAGAACCUACCUUUCAGCGGGGGAUAACCAUUGGAAACGAUGACUAAUACCGCAUAGGACUUUGAGUCACCUGACUUAAAGAGGAAAGACGGCUUCGGCUGUCACUGAAAGAUGGCUCCGCGGUGCAUUAGCUAGAUGGUAAGGUAACGGCUUACCAUGGCCAUGAUGCAUAGCCGACCUGAGAGGGUGAUCGGCCACAUUGGGACUGAGACACGGCCCAAACUCCUACGGGAGGCAGCAGUAGGGAAUCUUCCGCAAUGGACGCAAGUCUGACGGAGCAACGCCGCGUGUGUGAAGAAGGUCUUCGGAUCGUAAAGCACUGUUGUUAGAGAAGAACACCCGGUAGAGUAACUGUUACCGGCAUGACGGUAUCUAACCAGAAAGCCACGGCUAACUACGUGCCAGCAGCCGCGGUAAUACGUAGGUGGCAAGCGUUGUCCGGAUUUAUUGGGCGUAAAGGGAGCGCAGGUGGUGACUUAAGUCUGAUGUGAAAGCCCACGGCUCAACCGUGGAGGGUCAUUGGAAACUGGGUCACUUGAGUACAGAAGAGGAAAGUGGAAUUCCAUGUGUAGCGGUGAAAUGCGUAGAUAUAUGGAGGAACACCAGUGGCGAAGGCGACUUUCUGGUCUGUGACUGACACUGAGGCUCGAAAGCGUGGGGAGCAAACAGAAGUAGAUACCCUGGUAGUCCACGCCGUA
This 818-nucleotide ribosomal RNA is filed under the name uncultured bacterium. Its description in RNAcentral is "bacterial SSU rRNA". It matches the Rfam family "Bacterial small subunit ribosomal RNA", at positions 8 to 804 of the family's 1533-position model. The record is from RNAcentral.